UCCCUGAGACCUCUGCUGUGACAGUACGCAGGGUCACAGUAAGAGCACCUCAGGGGCC
Molecule: microRNA precursor, 58 nt
Filed under: Ascaris suum (pig roundworm)
Lineage: Eukaryota; Metazoa; Nematoda; Chromadorea; Rhabditida; Ascarididae
Description: Asu-Mir-10-P3_pre stem-loop
Source: RNAcentral